Molecule: long non-coding RNA, 943 nt
Filed under: Zostera marina
Lineage: Eukaryota; Viridiplantae; Streptophyta; Magnoliopsida; Alismatales; Zosteraceae
Description: long non-coding RNA (ZMAR_LNC002491)
Source: RNAcentral
UUUAUUCAGGUUUACAUUUGGUGUGACAUUUUCAGAAUUUAAUUCAUCUUCUUUGAAACUUAAAAUUUUUGUGUUCUGGUUAGUUGUUUUUUCAUAGCCUUGUUUCUUCAUCACAUUAACCAGACUCGUUAUUUGCUCUUGAAGCGAGCCCACGAUUCCGUAUAGUUCUUCUAACUUAGUCCUCUUAAAUGCGUCGCUAACCGAUUUGCUUAAACUCGAAUCUGAUCUACAUCUUUUUAUUGCAGGUUGUUCAUUUUGAUUUUCGGCUCUCUUUUCUGAAUCGUUAUUGCUCGCGCGUGUCAUUCGAGAAGAUUAGAUUAAAAGUACGGAGUGAAAUCGAGACAGAUGAGAAGGGAUAGAGCAGGAUUGUUCGUGAGUUGGAGUGCGUGUUAACGGAUAUUACUGUGAAUCGUGAUUUCAGAAGAGAAAGAAACGCGAAAUCGGAGGUGUCGUGCGAUUUGGAUUCGAGAAGAAACGAGAUGGGGGUUGGAGAGAUGUCGCCGAGGGAAGUUGGGUUUGUCCCCGGAGUCGCCAAUUGUCGAUGUAGAAAUCCCGCUCCGCUCCGUCGAUGUCUUCUCUUUAUAUAGCCGGACGGAUGUACUAGCACUUUGACACGUCGUGACCUAAGUGUCAAACUCUUCGCUGAGCCGGGCAUGCAGUUCCGGUUUUAUUCGUAAUUCCUGUCGAGAUGUAACUGGUCAACGUGAGUACGUAACGCGAGCAAGUAUCAACAAACAUAAAAGUAGAUCGGAGGAUGUAAUAGAACUCAUUAGGCAGGCCAAAUGCUUGUGAAUCACCAAGUCUGCUAGAAGAUCCUCUGGAAUUCACUAUUCUCGCCGGAAGAUGAAGCCGUCGGAAAUCGACGAGAUAAUGAAGAAGUCGCGGUCGCCGCUGCCGGAAGGGAAUGGUCGGAGAAAUCGGAACGAUUGGGUUUGGGUUUGGG